UCUUAGUUGGGUUCUUAACCUGCUAAGCCACAAUGGGAGCUCCCUCACUGUCGUCUUAAUGCAGUCUUGGCCUUCCUGCCAAGAUUUAAGAUCUAGACCUGACCCAGAUUGUCCACACAGGCUCCAAAAUCCAAAGUGAAUUCAAAUCCUCUCCUCCGUUUACCUGAUGUAUAUGCCUUCGGGAAACGUACACUGUCUGGCCUCUGUUUAUAAAAGAUAGCCACAUUUGGGCCCUUCCGAAGAAGUACUAGAGUGUUAUACAUCCUGAUACUAACAGCAAUUCUGUCCUUACGAAGUUGUCAACUUUUCAUAUUUCUCAGCCGUCCUGAUUCUAAUUAAGGGAAAGACAACCUGUACUCACGAAAUUCCACCUGCACCCUCAGCCGCAAGUCAGCUAUUUUCAAGGUCUCUGUGAUAGUCUCGGGUUUGCGAGCCUGCACGUACGAUGAAACGACAAUGUAGUGACAUACACGGUCACCCAAGGGGCUGGCUAGCUGUCUCAUGGAGCAGCGAGCUGGGGGGUGAGGAGAAGUGGGUGGAGGUGAGGAAGGAAGGCUCGAGUGCCCUUUUUUGGAAGCCCUUUUGUUGGAAGCCCUUUUUUGGACACAUGGGGGAAGGGCUAGAGUCUAAACGCUGGCUGCCUCAUAGCAUCUGAAUCCAAGCCAGAGUUUACAUCUCAUCUCUGCCACUGUCUGGAUGUGUAUCGGAGCAAGUCACUUAGCUCCUUGAGUCAUGGUCUCCUCCUCAUCAAAUGGGUGGGUGGUGGAGGGAGGGGUGCCCUUCUUAAGGGCUGCUGGGAUGACUAGUUGUGCCAUGUGUAAAGCACUUAGCUCAGGGCUUGCUCUCAAGAAAUGUGCUAGUGUCAUGAUGACUUUGGACUGAGCUCUAAAUAAUGUAUAAAGCAGCCUAAAGUACUGCACAUUUGCCUAAGGUCAUGCCUAUCAAACACCAAGAAGGGGCUAGGCCUUGUCUUACAGGCAUUGCCCUUUACCUUCAAGGAGCUGGAGCAUCCCUGGGGAGUCACAGCUAAGCAGGUACCACUGGACAGCAUGACGAGGGGUGUAGCAGGUGUAAAAAUGCAGGAAGUCCUCCCUUGAUAUCUCCGGGGACCAAAACAUCUAGAAGCCCACGAAUAAGAAAAGAGUUUAUUUGGGGUCUUCUAAACUGCAUUUUGGAAGACACAGCUUCAGGUAAAGCCAAAAGAGUGUCCAGGGAAGAGAAAGAGUCAGGGGCUUAUAAAGGCAAAAGCCACGAGGCUAUACUCUGACCUAAGAAAAGAAAUAUUUGUCCUUAGGGGACAGGCUCUCACCAGGUGUUUUAGAGUAAGGGUCUGUGACCAUCUUGAGUUUGUGGCAGUUUUUCUGGAUGCCUGUGCGAGGACGAUGAUGUGAUCAAAAGGUCAAACUCUGUCUGGGCCACGUGUGUGCCAGUCGUGCUUCCUCAGUGGCCUCCCAGCCCCACUUAGAGAGUUCUGUUAGCAAUAGCAGUGCCAUGUUGAUUUUCUUCUCACAGCUCCAGGACCCCUUUGGAGAUACCAGAAUCCGUAGACCCUCAAGUCCCAAAUAGAAAAUAGCAUAGAACAGUCAGCCCUCUGCAUCCGCAGGACCAGGUGCCCUACUCUGGAAACAGGUGCUUUCUCUUCCAACCAGCAUUUUCUGUGCACAUGCCAGGUGCCGACACUGUUCUGAGCGCUGAAGGAUCCAAAAUGAAUAUGAUCCUUGGUUGAAAUAGUUUAUAGUCUAGAAGGAAAUGACAGCCACCAAUCACACUACCCGUGAGCGCAGGAAGGGCGCGGUCACAGGCACCUGAUGAGAGGAGGGGCUUCAGGAGAUGAACCUGAGCUGAGUCCUGAUGCAGGUGAUGCCCUGGCAGAAUUGAGAGCCCCGUGGGGAAGGGCCAUGUAAGCAGCACGGAGGCCUGCGGGGCCCGUGAUGUGACUGGAGGAUGAAGGCAGGGACGAAUCAAGAGCCAUCCAAAAGGACAGGAGGUCAGGACAGAGCAUCAGCUUGCAGGUGCCCUGGAGGUUCUGUCCCCAACUCCAAAGGGCUCUUUGGUUUUAUCCUUCAGGUGGUGAGACACAGGAAGGGAUUUAAGCCUAUCCUCAGUUACAUUCCAAGCCUGGAUCAUCUCACAGAGGCGGUCUGAGAUCUUCAAAUCCUUGUAAAAAGGGAAAAAAACCACCAUCUGGUCUUGAAGAAAACCAAAGGCUGCAAAGAGACGCCAAGCGUGGGCAGACUAACAAUGCCCAGAGCGAACUUGGCCGGGGGCAAUGAGACUCAUAAACACUAAUGUGUUGCUUUAACUUGUCCUUGGCAUCAGGAGACCUCAGGGAAACCGCCCAGCCGGCUCAUUCUCCUUUGUCCCUGCCUCUUCCUCUUCUUUCUCACCCUGGCCUCUUCCUUUGCUCUGCUACCAUUUUUUUAAUAGACCAGCCGAUGGUGGGAAAUGUGCUCUGUUUAGAGCCUGGAAAGUCAGGAAGGAAACCACUGGAUUAAACUGAACUCUGAGUGUCAUGCUCACGGCAACCCGCCCCGCUCCGCCCCGGCCGCUCCGAGUUUAGGGGGGCUCAUGCGGAGCCCGUGUCGGUUUCAGGGCACAGCAGGACGUCCACGUCGCGCCUGCCCACCCUCCCCGAAGCCGGCUCGGGCCCAGCCCCGGCCGCGGCCUGAGUCACAUGCGCUGGAUGGUCCAGACCCGGGAGGCGGAGGAGGAUGUGGUGCCACGCAGCCAAGUGUCCCCGUCUGACCUCUUGCUCUUUUUCUGUCCCCAGGGAUAGGUGGAGCUUUCCUGCCCACAGAACUGAACUUCCGUUUCCCUUCCUUCCCAAGGCUGCCCUCCUGCCCAGCCCCGGGGAGAACGCGACGGAGUGUCUCGGGCCUCAGUCUACAGCAUCCUUUUUUCUCAAAACCUAGGGCUUUGACGGGCCACCGGGACACUGCAGGUUGAAAGGCUAGCGGCGUCCCCUCCUCUGCUGGCACCUUGUGUAUUUGUGUAUUGGCGCAUCCCGCCUCCCUCCGGGUGAGGCUCAGGCCCUGGCAGGACCCUGUGAGCCUGCCCCGCUGGGAGCAUCUCUGCAACCCAAGCUCACCCUGGCCAGACCUGGGAGCCCCUGCUGCUCUUCCAACCGCUUGCAGACCCAGAGGAAGCCCCGCCCCUCCGGCGUGACUCCGCCCCCACAGCGACACCGUCCAGAGGGACCAGGGGACACAACCUGGAGAUGAGGGGAGGUCAUGGCUGCGGAGCUCCCUGGAAGCACAGAGGGAAAGGAGACCCAAGCGCCUGCUCUGGGUCGUCCCCGGGCUCCGCUGUUCCGCAGGUCCUGCCAGGCUGUCCCUGUCACCAAGAACCCCGCGGUGUUUUUCCCGAAGCCGUGACUCUCUGAACAAGUGACAUGCUUUCCUUUCCCUUCCUUUUCAUAGCACCUUCCAGAAGCACUAGCAGGUAAGCGCUGCCCACGACAGUUUGACCAACAGUGUCCCGCUGGCCUCAGAGUAACACUGACCCAUUCAUUUGGUUGGUUAUUCCCCGCUGGCCUGGGCAGGUUUAUAAUGACCUCUCUGUCUAAAGCCCCCAAAGAAAACCAUUCCUCAAUCCUACCUCGGAGGAGAGCACCUUCAGAUCUGCAGAUCCCCGCGAAACGUUUCAUCAGAAGGCGAGCCAUCGCCGCACGACCACCGAGAGGAAAGAAGUUCCCACUGGGACUCGGCAGCAUUCGGAGUUCCCGGGCUUAACCGACACGGCUGGGCAGGCAUCAAAUCUGCAUCCCAGAGCUCCAGAGAGGCCACCAAUCCUGUUGCACCACAGUAGGAACUCCACUAGCCUUCAAUUUCUAAAGUGACCUGGCCCUGCCGUCUCAGCACUUAAACCACACCGAACUAGGAAGAAUGAACAAGUAACUUAAAGGGCUGUUUGGAGAGGGGCGAUGUGGUGUCACGGAAAAGCCACAGGACAUGGAAGCAACUGACCUGCAGUGAUGGCUUGAUAAGUGUCAUUGUGGUGACCCCGAACGGCAUUUGCCAGAGUUCCCUUCGCUGCACAAAAGUGGCCAAGGGAGAUCUUCCUGCGUGAGAUUUGAAGGGAGGAGUGAAGAAAUAGCCAUUGUGCACCUCACACGUGCUAGGGCUAAUCUCCUGACAGACCUCAUUGGCUCCAAACAGGUGUCUUUCGUUGCUGCUCGGCCUCUCCCACGCAUCCAGUGUGAGAGCCCUGCAGCUGCCCACCCACCGCCCGAGCCCAUUCCAAACAUUCUAGCUAAAAUCGCUUGCAUUCUUAGCUGACAGCUAAAUAAACGAACCCCAUUCCUGUCGGUGACCUCCCUCCCAUCCCAGGUAAAAUACCAGCAGUUUCUCAGGGGCUUUGAGAGACGGGGCUCACACCAAGGAUGGGAGCAGGGCUGGGAGGCACCAGACCAGGCUGGGAGGGGAGGUGUGUUUGCGGUGGGGAGGGGUGUUCCCCUCCAAACCACACCGGAACUGGGGUUUUACACUCCAUGUGGAUUCGCAAGCAAGGUGACUAUUUAUGAGAGACAAUAAAUGCUUCCCAGAAGGCCCCACUGUUUAAAUUCUUUUCCAGUUUAGGGACUUGUGGGAAUGGGGAGCAAUUCGGACAAGGAAGCCUCUCCCCACUUCCUGCCCUUCUACCCUCUGCUCCAUCUGCGCCCUCCUCCCCCUUCUUCCCACCCCUCCCCCUUUCAUCCUGCCGUGUUCUCCAUCUAUCUUGCCAAAACAAAACAAAACAAAACAAAAAAAUGAACAAAGGAGUAUGAGCUACCCUAGGACAGCCUGACACAGAAAAGAUGUCUUUUCAAAAUCUCAGAAUGUCAGGAUGAACUCAUUAAGGAAGAAGAGAACGAUGGGCCAUGUCAGCUGUUCCACAGUCAGUCUCUGUGGAAAAAACGCUGAACACUUGACUCAUCCACUGAUGAUUUGGGACAGUGAACCAGAGGAGGAAGAAGAGAGAAAGAAGAAAGGAAUAAACAAGUGGUUUCUUUUCGUCCGUAGGUUUCUGAUUCAGGUGCCAAAGCUCAUGAAUCUUGGGAUGGAGUCAGCUGCAGUCGCGGGUGAGGCUCUGAAUGAAGAGAAAAAGCAGACUUGGCCUCAUCACAUUCCUGCUCUAAUGGAUGCUGAGAAGUGGACGCUGCACAGCCUCCCCCGAGUUUCCUGGUACUGCCGCUAUCAUUGCAAAAUCCUGGCUUCUUCAAAGGAUCAUCUCUUGCCGCUGCCAGAGAAAGCGAAUCCAAGGUCACUUACUUCCACCUAAAGAGAAUAGUUUGUCAGCUGCCAAAAUUCAUUUUUCUAAUGUGCUCUUACCCAAUGCCUUGAGCCUGGCGAGCUGGGCGGAGUCCAGCCCGGCUAAUUCCAUCUUCCCAACCAGAUUCCCCUGAGGAGUUUGAAAUGGACACGAUCGGAUCCUUCCCCUCCUCCGCGCGCCUCUUUAUCAAUCAAACUAAUGCUUUUUCAUUUCCAAAGCAUGAUGGGAAUAUGGGCCGGAACGUCUAAAACAGGAUUCUUCUGAAGACUUGCGUGAGGAGAGCUUCCCUUGUAUGAAUUCGGUCAAGUUCUUGGGAAUCAAGUCUGGCUUCAUUUAUGCAACAGUCACUGAAGUCCAUGCCGGGGGCUGCUCUCAACAUGGCAGGUGCAGCAGGGCACAGGAAGGGGUUUCUCCCCUCAGGAAGGAAAUGUCAGAAUAGGUAUUUGAGAUGAGGUUGGAGUGAGAGACAAGAAUCAAACCAUUUAAACAUGCUCUGGAGUUUGGAUAGUAUCAUAGGGACAGUUGGUGGAGCGAUGUGAUCAGAUGUGGGGGUUUAAUGAGAUCUCACCGUGAUCAGAUGUGGGGUUUAAUAAGAUCGCACCGUGAGGGAGAGGAGCUAUUACACAGGACACCUGUGGGCCAGGGUCCUCGUCUCUCUUUUCCACUGGAAUUGAAGUCUUUGGGGAUCAACACAACAGGAGCCAUAGUCUCCUCUCUCCGGCCUUCAGAUAGCAUUGAACCUGGGUUAGCUCAAAGGAUCAAGGAGGCUAAGCCAUGGUUUGGCCGCGUGGGCCGUCAGCAUCGACUCUUCCGUGACAAAUGUUGCUUCUCUCUUUCUCUCCAUGUCUGGCUCCACUUCCCAGGCUGCCUGUGGCCCUGGGGACACCAGACAAAAGAAGGUAAGUGCAGAAGCAUCAGCGCCUCGGCGCUGUUCCAAGAGCUGGCCUUGCUCUGCUGAAGCAGGUUCAGGGACAAAGUCAAGGAGAAGAAGCCCCUAACCGUCUGUGCGGGUGGUGGAACGUGACGUUCUUGGAAGACCACUACCAUCGAAAAGAAUCAUUUAAACCUCUGUUGACUGCCCACCCUGUGAACAAUGAUAAAUCUAAAUGAGAAAGUCAUAGAAUUGGGGGCCAUUAAAGGGGGCAUUAGUCGUGGACUCCAACCUCCCACCCACUGUAGAGCCUUCGGCAGCAGCCCCGAGGGGGCGUCCUGCAGGGUUCCACAUCCCUCCUCUGUCAGAUGGGGGCCCGAGGCGUGGCAAUGUCCCUCCUCAUUGUUCUUCUGGCCGGGGAGGGUCAUUGAUGGGGGUACCUACGGCCCGGAGUCACGGUCUGAAGGGCCAAAGGGCAGGUGAGAAAGUCACACUGUGAAGAGGGGCCGUGGUCACAAUCUGAAAACACCAAAUAAAACUGCUCACGGGAGCAAGAGGAAGAAGGACGCAGAGCCACACAGGAGAUACGCGGGAUGCGAUGGAGGUGGGAGAAAGAGGAGGUGGGCUGGGGUGAGCUGGUCCGGAGAAAUUCCCACGUGUGUUUGGGGCAGUUCUCAUGAUGGAAUUUUCCCUUUGUUUUUUUUUUUUUUAGAGCCACACCCUCGGCAUAUGGAGGUUCCCAGGCUAGGGAUCAAAUCAGAGCUGCAGCUACUGGCUGAGGCCACAGCCACAGCAAUGCCAGAUCCAAACUCUGCCUGCGAUCUACACCACAGCUCGUGGCAACACCGGAUCACCAACCCCCUGAGGGAAGCCAGGGCUCGAACCCACAUCCUCAUGGAUACAGUCAGGCUCGUUUCUGCUGCGCCACACAACAGGAACUCCCUCUCAUGAUGGAAUGCUCAAUACGAUGCUCACACAAAUAUUUGUGAUUGUGUCAAGUACUUUCAGAAGGACUGGCAGGACAUCUGCGUCCUACUUCUGCUAAUGGUCACUGCCUCACUUGGAAGCCCAUUUCGUCAGUGGGAAGGGCUACUCAUCAGAACAGUCUCUGUAUCCGCUGCCUUCUGGCCAUAGGUCUGUUCUCGCAGGACCCGCGAGCGCACCUAGUCCGUUUCUUCAUGAUAGUCCUUCACAUAACAGCAGCCCCCGCGACCCCUUCCAACUUCCUGCCCCAGAUUCUUUCAGCUGUUCUAGGAGGACACCAUUCCAGAAAGUGCCAAACUGCCAAGUUGAAGAGGACUUCGGAAACUCCGAUCCGGCUCUCCUCCUUGACCCAGGAAGAAGGCGAGGCUCAGAGAAGUGAAAUGCAGCUGGUGGGGAGUGGGUUUUUCCCAGUAUCAUCCGACGUGGUAGAACUUGACCCCAGAUCUCCCAAGUCCACGUUCAGUGCUUUCCCCGUAUUUUUGACAUCCCAUUUGCCUUCCUCUAACCUCGUUCCAGCUUCUUAGAUGUCCUCUUCAAAUGUAGCGCCUGAAGCUGAAUGCCGCCUGCAGAUGUGGUCCAGCAGCCAAGAGAAUGAGGAAUUGUGCGGCUCUUUAUUCUAAAUUCUGCCCCUCCGUUAAUGCUGCUAGGAUGACUUUAGAGUUCUUUGGCAGGUACUGAUGAUUCAUCUUGAGCACAUGGUUCAUUAAAACCAUUUGAAUUUUCUUUUGAACUUGAAAUGUGUCAAACCAGGUAUUUUCUACCUUGUACUAGAAUGGUUCUUUUUAAAUUUAAUCGAGGACUAGGAUUUUAUAUUGAACCGUCCACAAGAUCUUUGGGUUCGUUUGGGUGUACCCUUCUACUCGGUUGAGAUAUUUUUGCGUGUUAACUCUCCUCUCGGGCAUGUACCUAACCACUCGUGUGUAACAAGAUAUAAACUCAGUCACAUACUGUGGCAAAGACAAUUCUCACCGAAUGUGCCACAUACUCCCCUGCUUUUCCCAGCCUCUUGUGUAAUUGUUCCUAAGUCAACAGACUGUGAAUGAAGCUGGUGUCACUUAAGAGCCAGUCAUUUAAGGGCCAGUAUGAUUUGCUUUAUUCUUUCAUUCCCCUGAUGCAGAGACCUUGCCAGCCACACGUUCCAGACGACAUGACUGCAGGGGGAAUUUACAUGAAUUCUGCCGAGGUCUCUAUAUCCAGCUACAGAUUCAGUUUAUCACCUAAAGACACUAUAAAAGACAGAAUUAAAUGCCAUUUUCAAAUCCACACACCCUGAGUCCCAAGGACCACAGGAGUCCACUGCAGGUUGUUCAGCAUGGGUGUGACAGAAACAGAUUUGAACUUUAGCGGUGCAUCUGAUGGCGAGGGAACUGGAGGGAACUAAGACUGGAAGCAGGAAAACAGCUUUGAGGCCAGCUCGUUGUGGGCAUCUAGAAAGGGUGUUAUGAUUUUAGGAGUCGCUACCAGCUGACUAAAAGCAAAGUUCUAUCAUAAUCACUUCACUGCCCCCUUUUGCCCCUGCUGCUAGACCAGCGUAUCAAGGAAACGCCCACGCCCAGAGCCCUGAGCCUGGCUCUAGGUCCAUCCAUGUUGCUGCAAAUGGCAUUAUUUCAUGCUUUUGGUGGCUGUCUAAUAGUCCUUUGCUUAUGUGUCCACAUUUUCUUCAUCCAUUCUUCUGUGGAUGGACAUUUAGGUGGCUUCCCUGUCUUGGCCACGAAGCCUGCUCCCGCCCACUCCCCUUCGUCUGCCCGCUGGCCACUCGUACCUCUUUUGGUUUCCUUGGCUUUAAGAAUCUCUCCGACGCUGGCCUUUUGUACAAGCUCCUUCUUCUCUUUCAAAUACUUUCCUAUCCUGCGACCUUUUCCAGGCUAAACCCUCAAACCUUAAAUCUCAGUUUUUUUCAGGAAGGCCUCCCCUGAUCCCCUAAACCAAGUUAGAUCCCCUUUCAGCACGUUUGAUUCCUCGCAAUCUCUUCACACAAAAGCACAUUCUCUCUUUUCGAGGCCAACAAUUCCUUGAGGGCAAAACUCACGCCUGUGGUGCUUCUUCCCUGAGAACUUGGAACACAGUGAAGCAGGAGUUCAAACAACGUUCGCUGAAUAGGAUUCUCGCAUCAUUUGUUCUGAAAAUGUGUUAGAACUAAGUGGGAAGCCAGGUGGAUGGCAGAUUCUAGACUCUCCCCUUUUCGUCUUCAGCCACUCUCCAGGUUCUGGAUGUUCCCUCUCUCCUGGGGGGUCCUCAGAGAUGACCCACAGUGAUUCUUUUCGUUGUCUGGGGUCGUCAUUGCUUUGGGACCCCAGUCUACAAACUGCAGGCCAGCCCAAAGCUGCCUGUUUCUAGAAAUAAAGUCUCAUUAGAACACAGCCCCACCGCUUCAUUUCCAAAUUAUCAGUGGCUGUUUUCACACUACAGAAGCAGGUGAUUGCAACCAAGGCCGUACAGCCCACAAAGCCUAAAAUAUCACCUUUACGGAGGAGAACAUUGCCAACCCCUAGUUUAGGGCAGAUUUUUGAACCCACUUAAGACGGCGCUAUGAUUUCUCUCCGUCAACUCAUCUAUAUUUGGAUACGUCUCCUCUUCACCCAUCUUCGUCGUGCCUGUCUAAUUGGAAAUGUGUUCUUUCUAUUAAAGCGCCAAAUAGACGGCUGCCUACCGUCACCUGCUGACGUGUGUCUCCUGCCACGUGUCUCCUUCACAUUUGCUGGGUUUUAGACCAAACAUCAUUCAUUUAAACAAAAAUUAAUUUCUUGGGAUAGAACACGAUGGAAGGGAACAUGAGAAAAAGAAUGUGUAUAUACGUGUGACGGGGUCACUUUGCUGUACGGCAGAAAUUGGCGCAACAUUGUAAAUCCACUACACUUUAACAUAAA
Sus scrofa (pig) is the source of this 9972-nucleotide non-coding RNA. NCBI's taxonomy places the organism in Eukaryota, Metazoa, Chordata, Mammalia, Artiodactyla, Suidae. The record is from RefSeq and is a predicted model, not a curated record.